This is a non-coding RNA of Myotis lucifugus (little brown bat), 70 nucleotides long. The record is from Rfam. NCBI's taxonomy places the organism in Eukaryota, Metazoa, Chordata, Mammalia, Chiroptera, Vespertilionidae.
GGUGGUUCUCAGGUGAUGAACCCCAGAAUCAGCCCUCUCUGGUUCCGGGGUGCAUCACCCAAGAACUGCC